CUAGCUGUAAACGAUGGGUACUAGGUGUUGCCCGUAUCGACCCGGGCAGUGCCGUAGCUAACGCGUUAAGUGUCCCGCCUGGGGAGUACGCACGCAAGUGUGAAACUCAAAGGAAUUGACGGGGGCCCGCACAAGCGGUGGAGCAUGUGGUUUAAUUCGAUGCAACGCGAAGAACCUUACCAGGACUUGACAUGCCGCGAAUCCCUGUGAAAGCGGGGAGUGCCUUCGGGAGCGCGGACACAGGUGG
RNAcentral lists this ribosomal RNA (247 nucleotides) under uncultured cyanobacterium. RNAcentral's name for it is "partial 16S ribosomal RNA". It matches the Rfam family "Bacterial small subunit ribosomal RNA", at positions 796 to 1041 of the family's 1533-position model. The record is from RNAcentral. Lineage: Bacteria; Bacillati; Cyanobacteriota.